UAACACGUGGAUAACCUACCUAUAAGACUGGGAUAACUUCGGGAAACCGGAGCUAAUACCGGAUGAUAUUUUGAACCGCAUGGUUCAAAAGUGAAAGACUGUCUUGCUGUCACUUAUAGAUGGAUCCGCGCUGCAUUAGCUAGUUGGUAAGGUAACGGCUUACCAAGGCAACGAUGCAUAGCCGACCUGAGAGGGUGAUCGGCCACACUGGAACUGAGACACGGUCCAG
Molecule: ribosomal RNA, 229 nt
Filed under: uncultured Staphylococcus sp.
Lineage: Bacteria; Bacillati; Bacillota; Bacilli; Caryophanales; Staphylococcaceae
Description: partial 16S ribosomal RNA
Rfam family: Bacterial small subunit ribosomal RNA
Source: RNAcentral